This 468-nucleotide ribosomal RNA is filed under the name uncultured bacterium. Its description in RNAcentral is "partial 16S ribosomal RNA". It matches the Rfam family "Bacterial small subunit ribosomal RNA", at positions 28 to 507 of the family's 1533-position model. The record is from RNAcentral.
GACGAACGCUGGCGGCGUGCUUAACACAUGCAAGUCGAACGGAAAGGCCCUGCUUUUGUGGGGUGCUCGAGUGGCGAACGGGUGAGUAACACGUGAGUAACCUGCCCUUGACUUUGGGAUAACUUCAGGAAACUGGGGCUAAUACCGUAUAGGAGCUCCUGCUGCAUGGUGGGGGGUGGAAAGUUUCGGCGGUUGGGGAUGGACUCGCGGCUUAUCAGCUUGUUGGUUGGGUAGUGGCUUACCAAGGCUUUGACGGGUAGCCGGCCUGAGAGGGUGACCGGCCACAUUGGGACUGAGAUACGGACCAGACUCCUACGGGAGGCAGCAGUGGGGAAUAUUGCACAAUGGGCGGAAGCCUGAUGCAGCAACGCCGCGUGCGGGAUGACGGCCUUCGGGUUGUAAACCGCUGUCGCCUGUGACGAAGCGUGAGUGACGGUAAUGGGUAAAGAAGCACCGGCUAACUACGUG